GCAGAGAAAAAACCAGCGGAAGAGAAGAAGGCUGAGAAGAAAUUACCACCCAGCAAAGAUGGUUCAUCAACUGUUGAUAAGACGAAGAAAUCAGUGGAAACUUAUGAGAUGUACAUCCUCAAAGUUCUAAAACAAGUUCAUCCUGAUACUGGUAUUUCAAGUGAAGCUAUGGGUACUAUGAACAGUUUCAUUAGAAAUACUUGAUCGUCAAGAUUAGCUAGGUACAAUAUGAGGAGAACUAUCACUAAUCGAGAUAUUCAGACUGCUGUUCGUCUUCUGUUUCCUGCUGAAUUAGCUAAGAAUGCUGUUUCUCAAGCUUCCUCUUCCUUCUGACGAUGUAGCAGUUAAUGUAAUUUCUCAAAUUGCCAGUGUGGAGUUUAAUAUUGCUGAAACUGAUGCUCUUAUCUGGGAAGCUAAUGCUCAUGGCGAGUUCAGCAUAAAAGGGACCUAUAAGGCUGUAUCUGUUCAUAAAGAUCAUGUGAAGUGGCGUUCUCGUGUUUGGUUUAAGCAGCAUAUCCCUAGACACUCUUUAUUUGCUUGGAUCUUCAUGGCAGACUCAAGACAAGGGAUGAAUUGAAGCAAUGGGGUCGUAUUGAGACUUCAAUCUGUAUACUCUCUGUGGAGGUGCUCGUGAGAGUGAAGGUCAUUUUUUUUCAUGAAUGGGUUAUCUGAGAGCCAUUUCUGUUACAUGGGAGGAGGAAGUUAAUUGGUGUUGAACAUUUUUCAGGUUCUGACCUUAGCUCUAUCAAGAAGCUUGUUUUUACUGGUUUCAUUUACCAGGGAUGGAAGGAGAGGAAUAAAUAAGGUGUUUCUUUAUCGAUCAUGGGCUUCCGUUCGGGUUAUGACAGCUGAUCAGCGUGCACUGCUCCUCAAACAUGUAGUCAAAGAUGACCUAGCAAAUAAGAUUUCUUUCAAGGACUGUGUACAGAUUGCCAGGGAUUUAAGUCACCCUAGAACAGGUGCUUUGUGUCUGUAAUGAUAAAAAAUCAGUCACGUCUUCAUAGAUUCCAAACAGAUUUCAAUAAUCACAAGCUGGAUUCUCAACCAGAAACAAGUAAAUGCGGAUCUCAGAAAAGGAAGAAAAGAUCCAAAAGAAAGUCAUCGAAACAUAGAAAGUCCGUAAAUGGAGAAUCAGAUGGUUGCCAAUUCAGGUGUCAUUAAGAAAUGAAGUCAGCUUUUAAGUAGAGGUGAACAGUGCUAAGAGGGUCUGCAGGAGAGACUUGUCUAUCUUUUCCUAGGAGUCACUUUGGUUUUUGGUUUUCAUUGUUUAGGUUUAAUUGCAGUCUUUUGUUUUGUUUCGCCUUUAUUUUGUUGCGCAUCCAGAUUCAAACCUGGGUACAUGACAGGCGGUGGGCUGUUAAGUUGAAGUUCCUUUAAAAACUUAAGUUUCUGUUCACAACUUUUUACUUGCUUAACCCUGUUAAUUGGAAAUCGUAUUUCUUA
This is a long non-coding RNA of Papaver somniferum (opium poppy), 1443 nucleotides long. RefSeq lists it as uncharacterized. NCBI's taxonomy places the organism in Eukaryota, Viridiplantae, Streptophyta, Magnoliopsida, Ranunculales, Papaveraceae. The transcript has 5 exons. The record is from RefSeq and is a predicted model, not a curated record.